GUAGGUGCAUUUAUAUAUCUAACAUAGUGGGUGAGGAGUGUAGUACACAAAAUUGAUGUACAUUUGCCUAUCAUAAAUAUGCUGGCCAAGAGAGAACUAAGGUAAAUAUAUCCCCAACAUCCAUCAGUCUCUGAAUUGAGGGCUGAGGGACACUAGUUAAUUCCUGAGCAUUCCCAUUCUCAUGUGCUCAAAAAGAUAUGGCCACCAUCCAAUAAUAAUGUAAACCUGAUGCCAAGAAGUCAUGUUGGCAUGCUUAGAAAUGUUAAAGAGAUGUGAGGAGAAAUAAGAGAAUUAUCAAUCACAUCAGCUAAGUCACCAUGCCUUUGUUCAUGUUAUUCCCCUACAUUCCUCCCUUUCUAAUUUCUAUUGUAUAGGUGCCAUACGCUCUGCAACAGCCUAUUGAAGUACCUUGUUAACCUCAGUCAGGCAUGCUUAUAUGGAAUCCUGCCUCAGUUAUAUUAUUUAUGAAAUCCUUAGACCUACCAAAUGAUGUCAGAUGUAAAACUAAAGUCAGCCAAGUUCAAAUAAGAAGAGAAGGCCAGGAUGACAGAGGCAGCCAGAGAAUGUUAAUAGUCCCCUGGGAAUUGAAAUCAGAAGAGUAGCUAUUUCUAGGAUAAAAGAAGAAUUACCUGAAAAGGAAUAAGAGGGAUUUCUCUGUGAGGAUGAAAUGUCUGAAUCCUAAUUUGGUGUGCUGUUAAUGAAUCGAACUCAGGACCUUGCACCUGUGAGGCAGGUGGUUGAAACCAUUGAGCUAAAUCCCUGACCCUGGAAUUUACAUUUUGAUAGGCUCCUUUUAGUGCUGUACCUGCACUAUAGGUUAUGGAGUGAUCCUCUCCCAACAGAGGUUAUGGAGUGAUCUCGUCUGCAGAGGAGAAGGACAAAAAGGCAGAGGAAUCCCUCAUUUCAAAAGAGAUUAAGGAGUUGUGAAAACAGUAUCAAAUUUUGUAGAAAAGCCGCACUAUCAGAGAACAGAAAGGGAGAACCUCACAUGACUGAAGCCACCACAGAGACAGUUCUUCCCUGGAAAUGGAACCAUCUCCCAGCCAUGAGAAUUUCAGAGCUACAACACCAGGACUCAGAUAAUGAUUAACUUAAUCCAAGCCCAUCAGAUAAUAAGUUGGCUUCCCACCUUUUCAGGUGAGCCAGCCUAAACCUCUGAUCAGUGUGCCUCCCUC
This 1175-nucleotide long non-coding RNA is filed under the name Heterocephalus glaber (naked mole-rat). Its description in RNAcentral is "lncRNA (ENSHGLG00100046356.1)". The record is from RNAcentral. Lineage: Eukaryota; Metazoa; Chordata; Mammalia; Rodentia; Bathyergidae.